This 495-nucleotide ribosomal RNA is filed under the name uncultured bacterium. RNAcentral's name for it is "partial 16S ribosomal RNA". It matches the Rfam family "Bacterial small subunit ribosomal RNA", at positions 29 to 506 of the family's 1533-position model. The record is from RNAcentral. RNAcentral also lists the same sequence under 1 other name.
ACGAACGCUGGCGGCGUGCCUAAUACAUGCAAGUAGAACGCUGAAGAGAGGAGCUUGCUCUUCUUGGAUGAGUUGCGAACGGGUGAGUAACGCGUAGGUAACCUGCCUUGUAGCGGGGGAUAACUAUUGGAAACGAUAGCUAAUACCGCAUAACAAUGGAUGACACAUGUCAUUUAUUUGAAAGGGGCAAUUGCUCCACUACAAGAUGGACCUGCGUUGUAUUAGCUAGUAGGUGAGGUAAUGGCUCACCUAGGCGACGAUACAUAGCCGACCUGAGAGGGUGAUCGGCCACACUGGGACUGAGACACGGCCCAGACUCCUACGGGAGGCAGCAGUAGGGAAUCUUCGGCAAUGGGGGCAACCCUGACCGAGCAACGCCGCGUGAGUGAAGAAGGUUUUCGGAUCGUAAAGCUCUGUUGUAAGUCAAGAACGGGUGUGAGAGUGGAAAGUUCACACUGUGACGGUAGCUUACCAGAAAGGGACGGCUAACUACGU